CGGGUGAGUAACACGUAGGUGACCUACCUAGUAGUGGGGGAUAACAGGGAGAAGUUCCUGCUAAUACCGCAUGAGUUGAGCAAAUUUGGAAAUAGCUCAAGAAAGACAGCCUCUUUACAAUGCUGUUGCUACAUGAUGGGCCUGCGCACCAUUAGCUUGUUGGUGGGGUAAUGGCCUACCAAGGCAAUGAUGGUUAGCCGGUCUGAGAGGAUGAUCGGCCACACUGGAACUGAGACACGGUCCAGACUCC
RNAcentral lists this ribosomal RNA (250 nucleotides) under uncultured bacterium. RNAcentral's name for it is "partial 16S ribosomal RNA". It matches the Rfam family "Bacterial small subunit ribosomal RNA", at positions 103 to 339 of the family's 1533-position model. The record is from RNAcentral.